RNAcentral lists this ribosomal RNA (158 nucleotides) under Lauriomyces bellulus. RNAcentral describes it as "5.8S ribosomal RNA". It matches the Rfam family "5.8S ribosomal RNA". Rfam says of the family: 5.8S ribosomal RNA (5.8S rRNA) is a component of the large subunit of the eukaryotic ribosome. It is transcribed by RNA polymerase I as part of the 45S precursor that also contains 18S and 28S rRNA. Functionally, it is thought that 5.8S rRNA may be involved in ribosome translocation. Lineage: Eukaryota; Fungi; Ascomycota; Leotiomycetes. The record is from RNAcentral.
AAACUUUUAACAACGGAUCUCUUGGUUCUGGCAUCGAUGAAGAACGCAGCGAAAUGCGAUACGUAAUGUGAAUUGCAGAAUUCAGUGAAUCAUCGAAUCUUUGAACGCACAUUGCGCCCCUUAGUAUUCUAGGGGGCAUGCCUGUUCGAGCGUCAUUA